This is a long non-coding RNA of Cyprinus carpio carpio, 1290 nucleotides long. The record is from Ensembl. NCBI's taxonomy places the organism in Eukaryota, Metazoa, Chordata, Actinopteri, Cypriniformes, Cyprinidae.
ACAUUUAAAUGGUGGUUGUCACUAAAACGUGACAGAUUUAUUUAAAUUAAAUAUUGUAGAACAGUAAAACAUGAUAAUGAUUUCUUGCUGACUAAUGAAUUCAUGGUCACUGAAUAUGUUUUACUGUGGUAAAUGUGAUUUUACGCGACACAUUGUUUAUAAGCUAUUGUCGUCUUUCCAUGUUUGAAACACUGACUGAGCGAUUACAUGAGACAGGAUACGGAUUUCAGUAAGUUAUACUCUUUCUUUUAACAUAGCUUCGGAUGUUCAUUCAUGUUUAUUUCAUGCUGAAACUGUUAUUAAAGCAGAGAUUAUCAGUUCACGCUGCCGCUUCUGACUGAGGCUUUACAGCGAUCUGUCACUCUAUAUUAAACAGCGCCAAAACGGCAUUGAAUAUUUGAAUAUCGUUAUAAAAUGGACAGAAUUUAAAAAUCUGAGACUUUGUUUCAUAUCAAAAGUAACAAAUCACAAAGCUUAUUGCAAUUUAUUGGAUGGGAGGCACGCUACAUUGUUUUGUUUAUUAUCUGACAGGCUAGGCUCUUGGGAUUUAUGAAUCUAUAUUGUUUCGAGAAAUCUUUUUUUUUUUUUUACCCAGCCCUAGUAAUUAUAGUUACAUUUUAGCGUUUUAUAUAUAUAUGGUUUUAAAGUGGAAAUGAAGCAGUCAGUCAAAUUUACAUUAUUUAGGAAAAUAACUUCCAUUACAAUAAAUAUAUAUAUAACAAACAUGAUUAAUGUAACCAUUUUAAAGAAAAAGAGGUUGUUUUGUUAUAGCUUUUGGAGCAAGGGCGCUGCCAUCUUGCAGUACCACACGCGUGAUGUCACGGGGUUGGUUCACUCCAAUGGCCAGUGAAGUAAUAUAAGCAUUUCUUUACAUUUUGAACACAAGCUUGUUUUGAAAUGGAGGAAGAUGACCUUGAAAGCACUGUUAAGUCCAUAAUAAGCGCAAGUGCCUAUGCAUUUGAGUCGAUACUGUGUGGAUCGGAAACAAUACUUGUUUACGUGGAUACUCCUCAAGACUGUCAUUCUGACGUGCUUUGUGUGCAUUUGCUGAUGAAGGUGCAAAAGAAAGCUCAAUUUGGUAGCCUACACAUGUGCUGUCCAAGCCAAGCUGUGGCUUUGUGUGUGUGUGUGUGUGUGUGUGGCGCCGCCGGCGCAAACAGAAAUGGUCUAUCACAACGCCUGAGUAACACAUUUAAAAUCUCUUUCAGAAAAGGUCUAUCACAGCGUGUAAGUACCGCAUGGAAAUCUAUUCCGUGCUGUCUCACUCUUAAAUGGCUUAAAACACUUUAA